Molecule: long non-coding RNA, 3117 nt
Organism: Notolabrus celidotus (New Zealand spotty)
Lineage: Eukaryota; Metazoa; Chordata; Actinopteri; Labriformes; Labridae
Exons: 3
Source: RefSeq, a predicted model, not a curated record
CAUACAGCUGCAGCUAACCAGGCUGAUGUCAUCAGUCAACAAUUGAUACAACUGCUUCCCAAAUCAAAACAUUGCUGUAGGAUGGUGUCUGUGUGCAAAGUGUGCAGGGAUUUCACCAAAUCCACAAUGGUUAGACGUGACUCACUUGCGACAGGGAAGCAAAUAGCUGAACCCCAUACUGAAGAGUUAGGGGAACCAGGAACUCCAGUAUCCGCUGCCUUAGGAUCUAAAUGAGCACACACAUUUUUCAUACAUAUUCAAGGCUGAACAGAAGAAACUAUGCAAACUUUAUUACAGGAUUAACAAACACAUAUGGGAUAAAUUAGUACAGAUCUGUGAAAGUAACACUUCUGAUGGCAUAAAAGGCAGAAAACUUGUUCUUAUGUAACACACACCUUUGUGCUUUUGAAGUAGACGGAGGUAGAAGAGGGUCUGCUGCUCUGAGCAGAGUCAGAUACACGCCUCUGAAGCUCCUCCCUCAUGACCACACCCCACAACAGCGCCAUGCUACUGAGCAUGUGUGGCAGUUCUUCGAUCACAGCGUUACGUGCGUUACGGACAUCCACAGGAUCACAAGCGACCAAGGACUGACAGAGAGACAGAGGGAGGAUACAGGGCAUUGACAUGAUUAUAGAAACAGGAAGUGCUUAUCUGUGGGUUUAGUGUGUGUCCUCACCCUCUUGUUAUCCAGUAGACAAUGGUGUGUGAUGGAGGUCAGGCCUUCUAGCAGAGUCAGAGGAUAGUCUGGGGCAAUGUUUUCCCGCCUACCACUCAAGCUGUUCAGAAGACAGAAAAAUACAUUAAGCAUUCCAUUUAAAAAAAGGACAGAAUGCUUUUUCUGUUUUUACUUGUGCUAAGUGUACCUUUGAUUUGUUUUCCCUCCAUCAUGCUCAUAAAGCUUGACCAGCUCAUCUAAGUUCCUACAGAUCUGGCUGAUGAGGGGAGCCACGAUGAUACCUAAUGAGCGUCCCAGGUAUGGCAGAGAGGAGACCAGCAGUGACACCCAGUGGGGGUGCAUGGCAUAGCCGUACUGCGGCUGCAGAGCCCUGGCUGCAGCAGACACAAACAUCCCUUGUGCGGUGAUGGGGUGGCUCUGGACGUACUGCACUGCCUUGAUGGACUGCUGGAAAAGGACAGCGGUUUGCCACUCACGGGUAAGAGUGGUGCUUGUAGUCGGGGUUUCACGAAGUUCCCCAGAGUGGCCAGCAGCUCCACCUGACCCUGCUGCUGAGACAGCCCCACCCGGCCACACAUGGUACUCCAGGACUAUGAGAGCCUGGAGGAGUUUCAGUAACUCCAUUUGUAAGGUGUACUGUUCCUGCCCCCCUCCUGCUCCCACAUUCACCAGACUCUCCUCUGACAGCCCCCCCUGCUCAUCCAGCACCUCCACACCCUUGGCUGGUCCCUUGUCUGUUCCCUUUUGGCUGACAUACAUAGAUGCAGAAAGCGUAAGCAGAGCGUACUGCUGCACCUUACAUCCUGAGAGAAGUCUGCGAAUGGGCUCCAAACUCGCCCCACUGCCCUGUUGCCGGGACGCCAUGCAGCCAAGCUGGUUCACUAUGCGAGUCAGCACCUCAACACUCUUCACCUGAACCUCCCUGUUCCCCUGCAAGUCAAGAGGACCCAGACAUAGAUGUGAAGGGUAAUGAGAACGCAGGAAUCGCAGACACAAGGACAACAGGAGUUCAAUGAGCAGGGAAGGGGGCGAAGAUGGGGAUGAGGAUGGGGAGAGAAGGCUGCCAUAGAAGCCUUUACCAUCCUGAGCCUGUUGGUGCCGCUGCAGGAGGUUGGAGACUAAGUUCAAAUGUGCAGCGGAGCUUGUGUCCAGAGAAGUGGAGGAGAGAGCAUCCACCAGGGGGCACUCAGCACUGCUUCUCAGAAGGCUGUCUAACAGAGCCAGGCCUUGUAGAAGAUGUCGCCAGCCGCCCGCUGCAGGAUACAGCAGCAUAUGGCGAAACAGAGAGUCGAUAGCCUCUCUCCUCUCUCGCUCUUGUUUCAUCAGGCGAGACCUGGCAAUGGCCUCCAGCUCUAAAUCUUCCUCAUCCUCACUUGACAGUGAAUCGGACGCCUGCGUGCGCUCAGACUCUGCCCUCCGCAGGCCGUUAACCACACCUCCUUCCUCAGUAAUACGGUAGGGGGCAGAGCCUGAGCUGGAGUUCUCAGUGGAUACCUGAGCGCCGCUAGUGUCCGCUGACUCAGUGUGUUCACUCUCAGCUUCCUCUUCUUCCUCUGCCUGUUUAUCGUCGUCCUCCUCCGUCUCUUCACUCUCACUCCUAGAAACAGCCAAGGUGUCUGGUAGAUGCAUCGACUCAGCACCGCUAUCUAGCUCCGUCCACAGCGCCUCUCGGUCCACAAUGUUUAUCAGGUUCAAGGUGGUGACCUCUGUUGCCAUGGCAUCUGCAGACGUCCCUAAACUUUUGGUGGAGCUUCGACUUCUGUUUCCUGAAACCUUCAGGUCACCUUAAAGACACAAAAAGAAAUGUAAACAAAAUGUAAUCCACUACACAACAUCUACAAUACAUGAUGACAAAUGGACUUACCAGCAGCAAGGCUCUGUUUGAUGCUCUGAAUCGAGCAGCGCUGAGUGGAUGGGUGAAGCAGCAGCAGGAGAAUAGGUUCAAGGAUUCGAAUCACAUCAUUGAGGGACAGAGCCCUGACCAGCCAGCACUGAGCUGCUGCACUUACUGAGCCGUCUGUACAGCUGAGACUGUCCACCACAACACACAGAGACCUGAGGGAGACAGUUCAACAGGCAGGUUUAGGAAAGAUCGAAACACACAUCCUUUAAAAAUAGAGCUACUGUAGUUCUUUCAAGGUUUUUAUAACUCAUUGACUGACUGACUGACUGACUGACUGACUGACUGACUGACUGACUGACUGACUGACUGACUGACUGACUGACUGACUGACUGACGCUAAAUUUCAAUGAGCUUGUAUUUUUUAUUUAUUUUUUUACCAGUGGUGGAACUUUUCAUACCUGGAAGGUACACUAAUUCACACGGCGCAGCUCUUAACUUCUGACUCAGGAGUUACUGAGACAGCUUCAGCCCAGAGUUAAAAUGUUGACAGGCCCACUGCCCUCACUUAUCAAGAGGUAAGUGUGGGAUAGGAAGAGAA